This 556-nucleotide long non-coding RNA is filed under the name Homo sapiens (human). RNAcentral describes it as "HSALNT0025605". The record is from RNAcentral. Lineage: Eukaryota; Metazoa; Chordata; Mammalia; Primates; Hominidae.
GCAGCUUCACCUGGGAAAUCGAUGGAAAUGCAAAUCUUGGGACCCCACUACAGGCCUUCUGAGUAAGAAACUCUGAGGGUGUGCCCAAUAAUCGGCCUUACCAACCCUGAAGAUCCUGUGUCUCAUUCAUUCAUUCAAGUGUUAAAUGAGUGUCUUCUCUGUGACAAUCACUCCUCUGAGCAGUGAUGUUAGAACAGUGAAAAAGAAAAGGCACAAGAGAAAAACCCUCUUGUCAUUUCAGUGGGAGAACCAGACAGUAAACAAAAUAUAUGGCAUGUCAAAGUGGAAAGUGCUAGGAAGAAAAUAAAGGAAGCAAAGGGGACCAAUAAGACUGUUGUGAAUUCAGUUUUAAAUAAUUUGGUCAGGGAAGGUUGGUAAGUGAGAAGGUUGUAUUUGAGGGAAAAGCCAAAGAAUAUGAAGAGCAAAUUCCCCAUGCAGAAUUCAAGGGGGAAAAUAUUUGAAGCAGAGAGAAUGGCAUGUGCAAAUGCUCUGAGGCGAAGCAAGCCUAGCACAUUUGAGAAUGGCUGGAGACAAAAGAAAGUCAAAGAAAUGAGGU